GGUAAAUAACUUAGAGAAUUUAUUUGCCAAGUAGGAAAUAAAAAGCAUGAUUUUAACAUUUAUUUAGAAUAUGAACAAUACUAGAAAAAGUUAAACUAUAGAAAAGAAGGUAGAGAGUACUUAAGUUGGCCAAUUAAUACAACAAGCAAAACCCAAGUUUCCUUCAUGCAGAUAAGACUUAAGGAAAAGAAAAAGGGAAUGUUUAAAGAACAGAUCACAACAAAUAUUUUAAAUUUUUACAUAAACUGUACAUAAAUGAAAAAAUAAAUUAGAUGAUUUACAAGAAAUGUUUUAUAGGUUACAAUAGGCUAUAACUUAGUUUAUUAUGAAUAAAAUUUGUAGCACAUCAUACAUUUUUACAUCACAGGUUCAGUGUUAGAAUAAUUUCAACAUAACAGAGGUUAGACUUGGC
This 412-nucleotide long non-coding RNA is filed under the name Bos taurus (domestic cattle). RNAcentral describes it as "long non-coding RNA NONBTAT012065". The record is from RNAcentral. Lineage: Eukaryota; Metazoa; Chordata; Mammalia; Artiodactyla; Bovidae.